UAGAGAAGAUUUUUCAAGAGAGUUUAGUCUUUUGCUAGGACUGCUUCAUUGGAGAAAAAUGAAGUCGUGCGCCGUUCUUGUGCUUUUGGUGCUCUUUGCCACGGUUGCCAUAGAAGACACAGCCGGGCAAAUUGCGAAGCUUGCUACGUGCGAAUGCUGUGGUCAGACUUGUAGUAGCGACCAUGGGAGUUGCUACUGCGUCGGAACGUACCCCAACUGCCGCUGUGGUGCAGACGAUCACCCAAAAUAAAAGAAUAGCCUCCCGUCGAGAGGAAACAUGACCAGUUGGACAUAUUAAAGAAAACAGGAAACUAGUCACUCAGCUAAAUGUAAAGCUGCAAUAUUUGGACUUUUUGUGAAUUUUGAGUUCAACAAUAAGUGGUCAUAAUAAAGAUUGUAGUAAAUACGCUGUAUUUACUGCAUCGUCAAAGCUUUAAA
RNAcentral lists this long non-coding RNA (438 nucleotides) under Lingula anatina. Its description in RNAcentral is "uncharacterized LOC106176590". Lineage: Eukaryota; Metazoa; Brachiopoda; Lingulata; Lingulida; Lingulidae. The record is from RNAcentral.